Panthera uncia (snow leopard) is the source of this 1656-nucleotide non-coding RNA. The record is from the annotation of a RefSeq genome assembly. Lineage: Eukaryota; Metazoa; Chordata; Mammalia; Carnivora; Felidae.
AAAAAGAAAAGCCUGUGUGAGACUGCCCUGCUGUGGAGUCUCAGCAGGCAGAGCUCUGGGAGUCUCCACCAUGGCCUGGACCCCUCUCCUGCUCCCGCUCCUCACUCUGUGCACAGGUUCUGUGGCCUCCAGUGGGCUGACUCAGCCUCCCUCAGUGUCGGUGGCCCUGGGACAGAUGGCCACCAUCACCUGCUCUGGAGAUGUACUAAGGGAAAGAUAUGCAUAUUGGUACCAGCAGAAGCCAGGCCAAGCCCCUGUGCUCCUAACUACUAAAAAUACUGAGCGCCCCUCAGGGAUCCCUGACCAAUUCUCUGGCUCCAACUCGGGGAACACAGCCACCCUGACCAUCAGCAGGACGCGGGCAGAGGACGAGGCUGACUAUUACUGUCAGUCCUAUGACAGCAGUGGGAACGCUCACAGUGACACAGGCAGAUGGGGAAGUGAAACACGAACCCCUUCCCUGUCUGUGUCACACUCUCCUCCAGCCACAGAAGGACUGUGGACAAGCAAUGAGCAGGUCUGACCCAGGCUCCCAGAUCCCAGGUCUCCCGAGAUCCACUCUGCCUUCUAGGCUGGCUCUGCACAGGGAGGGUCAGGAGUGCAUUCAGAGCUGACAACACCAGGCUGCCUGGGUUCUGAGAACCCGGGUAUGACCUGGGGAUAGAGGGCCUGGGUGCAGGAGACAGAAGGAGGUUUUUGUCCAGUGGUCAUUAUCUCUGCAUUUUUAUAUGGUGGUCACUGGGCCACUGUUCACACCAGUCACCAGGAUGAGAGCCCCCAAUGUUCCCAUGAGCUGAGCUCCCGAUGACCUGGCAUCAUGAGCCACCUCCACUUGAGGGGAGCAGAGGGUACAAUAGUCACAGUGUUGUCAUCCAUACCCCCACAUCUGGGUUCACACACCACUGCUGCCAGGAUGCCCUGACAGCUCACAGGGGUCCUCCUCACUGGGAAGUGCUCUUGGUUCAGACAACCGCCUCCCCAGGUUUCUGCCCCUUCUCAGAGAGGUUCAGGUGAAUGCCGGCCUGAGUGAAUGAAGGCCCUGCCUCAGGCUCAGAUGUCCUGAAGGUCCCAGCUUUAGAGCUCCCUGCAGGAAUCAUGUGAUGCAUCCCUCUGUGUGGGUCACUCUCCUGCCCAGUCUGGCCUCCCUCCUCCUUCCAUAUCUCCUGCACAUGCACUUCUCCAUCUCAGAGUCUGCUUCCAGGAACCUAAUCCGUGAUGGCUGGCAUCUCCGACAGGGUCCCCAGGGACCUGAGGAGGCCACUGUAUACACACGAAGCUGGAGUUCCUCCCCCAAACCCCCAAUGUGCAUGUCAGAUCCUCAGACAGAUCAGAUUGUUAUUUGUCAUUUUACACAAUGGAAAAAAGAUCCAGAUACACCAGGUGCUCUUAGUUCUGAAAGACAGUGGCAGAGUCACAUCCAUUUUCUGGUGAAUGGGGGACACUGGGGCAGCUGCCUCCUCCUACAAAGUGACCAGAAGAUGGGGCGCCUGGUGGCUCAGUCGGUUAAGCGUCUGACUUCGGCUCAGGUCAUGAUCUCGCGGCUCGUGAGUUCAAGUCCCGCAUUGGGCUCUGUGCUGACAGCUUGGAGCCGGGAGCCUGCUUCAGAUUCUGUGUCUCCCUCUCUCUCUGCCCCUCUCUCACUUGCGCUCUGUCUCU